AUUGAACGCUGGCGGCAGGCCUAACACAUGCAAGUCGAGCGGAUGAAGGGAGCUUGCUCCUGGAUUCAGCGGCGGACGGGUGAGUAAUGCCUAGGAAUCUGCCUGGCAGUGGGGGAUAACGUCCGGAAACGGGCGCUAAUACCGCAUACGUUCUGAGGGAGAAAGUGGGGGAUCUUCGGACCUCACGCUAUCAGAUGAGCCUAGGUCGGAUUAGCUAGUUGGUGGGGUAAAGGCCUACCAAGGCGACGAUCCGUAACUGGUCUGAGAGGAUGAUCAGUCACACUGGAACUGAGACACGGUCCAGACUCCUACGGGAGGCAGCAGUGGGGAAUAUUGGACAAUGGGCGAAAGCCUGAUCCAGCCAUGCCGCGUGUGUGAAGAAGGUCUUCGGAUUGUAAAGCACUUUAGGUUGGGAGGAAGGGCAGUAAGUUAAUACCUUGCUGUUUUGACGUUACCAACAGAAUAAGCACCGGCUAACUUCGUG
This 484-nucleotide ribosomal RNA is filed under the name uncultured bacterium. Its description in RNAcentral is "partial 16S ribosomal RNA". It matches the Rfam family "Bacterial small subunit ribosomal RNA", at positions 30 to 507 of the family's 1533-position model. The record is from RNAcentral.